RNAcentral lists this ribosomal RNA (492 nucleotides) under uncultured bacterium. RNAcentral's name for it is "partial 16S ribosomal RNA". It matches the Rfam family "Bacterial small subunit ribosomal RNA", at positions 29 to 507 of the family's 1533-position model. The record is from RNAcentral.
AGUGAACGCUGGCGGUAGGCCUAACACAUGCCAGUCGAACGGCAGCACAGUAAGAGCUUGCUCUUACGGGUGGCGAGUGGCGGACGGGUGAGGAAUACAUCGGAAUCUACUUUUUCGUGGGGGAUAACGUAGGGAAACUUACGCUAAUACCGCAUACGACCUACGGGUGAAAGCAGGGGAUCUUCGGACCUUGCGCGAUUGAAUGAGCCGAUGUCGGAUUAGCUAGUUGGCGGGGUAAAGGCCCACCAAGGCGACGAUCCGUAGCUGGUCUGAGAGGAUGAUCAGCCACACUGGAACUGAGACACGGUCCAGACUCCUACGGGAGGCAGCAGUGGGGAAUAUUGGACAAUGGGCGCAAGCCUGAUCCACCCAUACCGCGUGGGUGAAGAAGGCCUUCGGGUUGUAAAGCCCUUUUGUUGGGAAAGAAAAGCAGCAGGUUAAUACCCCGCUGUUCUGACGGUACCCAAAGAAUAAGCACCGGCUAACUUCGUG